AUGAGCUCUAUUGGCAUGAUGGAGGCGAGGAUGCCGCCGGGGUUCCGGUUCCACCCACGGGACGAGGAGCUGGUCCUCGACUACCUCCUCCACAAGCUCACCGGCCGGCGCGCAUACGGUGGCGUCGACAUCGUGGACGUCGACCUCAACAAGUGCGAGCCAUGGGACCUUCCAGAGGCGGCGUGCGUGGGCGGCAGGGAGUGGUACUUCUUCAGCCUGCGCGACCGCAAGUACGCCACCGGCCAGCGCACCAACCGCGCCACGCGCUCCGGCUACUGGAAGGCCACCGGCAAGGACCGCGCCAUCCUCGCGCACGGCGAGGCGUUGGUGGGGAUGCGCAAGACGCUCGUCUUCUACCAGGGGAGGGCCCCCAAGGGGACGAGGACGGAGUGGGUCAUGCACGAGUUCCGCCUGGAGGAGGAACGACACCGCCACCACCAGCAGCAGCAGAAGGGCGGUGCCGUCGCCGCCGCCGAGCCGAGGUGCCAGCUCAAGGAAGACUGGGUGCUAUGCAGGGUGUUCUACAAGAGCAGAACAACCAGCCCAAGGCCACCAUCUGAAGAAGCCUGCACAUUUUUCAGCGAGCUGGGCCUUCCGACUGUGCCGCCGCCACUUGCCCCCCUUAUCGACGCCUACAUCGCCUACGACAGCGGCACCGCGAUGAACACCAUCGAGCAAGUGUCCUGCUUCUCCGGCCUACCGGCACUACCGCUCAGGGGAUCGGUGAGCUUCGGGGACCUGUUGGGCUGGGACAACCCUGAGAAGAAGGCCAUCAGGACAGCACUGAGCAACAUGUCAAGUAACAGCAAUUCCAAGUUGGAGUUGACCCCAAACUGGAGCCAGGAGAACGGCUUGUCACAGAUGUGGACACCCCUCUGA
This 879-nucleotide ribosomal RNA is filed under the name Triticum aestivum (bread wheat). RNAcentral describes it as "partial small subunit ribosomal RNA". The record is from RNAcentral. Lineage: Eukaryota; Viridiplantae; Streptophyta; Magnoliopsida; Poales; Poaceae.